AGGUAUGAGGGUAGUCAGGUUGGGAUAUCUGUUAGCUCAUUGAUGGCCAGGGUUGGUUUGACUAAUCUAGUUGGAUAGGCAGGUGUCUCUUCCUCCAUCACGACCCCAGCUGCAUCCCUUCCAAAGCUGUGUAGUUGGAAAAAAAAAAAAAGAACACCUUCCCUGAUGGAGGAGGACUGGUCUUUGUCAAGGGUAUAUGAGUAGCUGUGUACCCCUUGUAGAACCUUCAAGCAAGCUCUCAAUGUGCUUGAUUUGGAAUUCUCUGCUGUAACUAGGCAUUUUAUUGUUUAAUUAUACCAGUGACUGGACCUAGAGGGCCUCGUAAAU
Unclassified non-coding RNA from Mesocricetus auratus (golden hamster), 327 nucleotides. Its record names the gene 7SK. It matches the Rfam family "7SK RNA". From Rfam's summary of the family: 7SK was discovered as an abundant small nuclear RNA in the mid-70s but a possible function has only recently been suggested. Two independent studies have found that 7SK RNA binds the CDK9/cyclin T complex (known as elongation factor P-TEFb). The record is from Ensembl. Lineage: Eukaryota; Metazoa; Chordata; Mammalia; Rodentia; Cricetidae.